UAGAAGUAUUUAAAGACUUCAUCUUGCAUACUUGAAGAAUUUAAAUACUUCUACUUGCAUAUUUGGAGGAUUUAUUGCCUUGAACU
RNAcentral lists this microRNA precursor (86 nucleotides) under Solanum tuberosum (potato). RNAcentral's name for it is "MIR8024 microRNA precursor family". It matches the Rfam family "MIR8024 microRNA precursor family". The record is from Rfam by way of RNAcentral. Lineage: Eukaryota; Viridiplantae; Streptophyta; Magnoliopsida; Solanales; Solanaceae.